This 497-nucleotide ribosomal RNA is filed under the name uncultured bacterium. RNAcentral describes it as "partial 16S ribosomal RNA". It matches the Rfam family "Bacterial small subunit ribosomal RNA", at positions 28 to 507 of the family's 1533-position model. The record is from RNAcentral.
GAUGAACGCUGGCGGCGUGCCUAAUACAUGCAAGUCGAGCGAACGGACGAGAAGCUUGCUUCUCUGAUGUUAGCGGCGGACGGGUGAGUAACACGUGGAUAACCUACCUAUAAGACUGGGAUAACUUCGGGAAACCGGAGCUAAUACCGGAUGAUAUUUUGAACCGCAUGGUUCAAAAGUGAAAGACGGUCUUGCUGUCACUUAUAGAUGGAUCCGCGCUGCAUUAGCUAGUUGGUAAGGUAACGGCUUACCAAGGCAACGAUGCAUAGCCGACCUGAGAGGGUGAUCGGCCACACUGGAACUGAGACACGAUCCAGACUCCUACGGGAGGCAGCAGUAGGGAAUCUUCCGCAAUGGGCGAAAGCCUGACGGAGCAACGCCGCGUGAGUGAUGAAGGUCCUCGGAUCGUAAAACUCUGUUAUUAGGGAAGAACAUAUGUGUAAGUAACUGUGCACAUCUUGACGGUACCUAAUCAGAAAGCCACGGCUAACUACGUG